AGUAGCGGCGAGCGAACGGGGAGCAGCCCAGAGCCUGAAUCAGUGUGUGUGUUAGUGGAAGCGUCUGGAAAGGCGCGCGAUACAGGGUGACAGCCCCGUACACAAAAAUGCACAUGCUGUGAGNAGUGUGUUUCGACACACUAUCAUUAACUGAAUCCAUAGGUUAAUGAGGCGAACCGGGGGAACUGAAACAUCUAAGUACCCCGAGGAAAAGAAAUCAACCGAGAUUCCCCCAGUAGCGGCGAGCGAACGGGGAGCAGCCCAGAGCCUGAAUCAGUGUGUGUGUUAGUGGAAGCGUCUGGAAAGGCGCGCGAUACAGGGUGACAGCCCCGUACACAAAAAUGCACAUGCUGUGAGCUCGAUGAGUAGGGCGGGACACGUGGUAUCCUGUCUGAAUAUGGGGGGACCAUCCUCCAAGGCUAAAUACUCCUGACUGACCGAUAGUGAACCAGUACCGUGAGGGAAAGGCGAAAAGAACCCCGGCGAGGGGAGUGAAAAAGAACCUGAAACCGUGUACGUACAAGCAGUGGGAGCACGCUUAGGCGUGUGACUGCGUACCUUUUGUAUAAUGGGUCAGCGACUUAUAUUCUGUAGCAAGGUUAACCGAAUAGGGGAGCCGAAGGGAAACCGAGUCUUAACUGGGCGUUAAGUUGCAGGGUAUAGACCCGAAACCCGGUGAUCUAGCCAUGGGCAGGUUGAAGGUUGGGUAACACUAACUGGAGGACCGAACCGACUAAUGUUGAAAAAUUAGCGGAUGACUUGUGGCUGGGGGUGAAAGGCCAAUCAAACCGGGAGAUAGCUGGUUCUCCCCGAAAGCUAUUUAGGUAGCGCCUCGUGAAUUCAUCUCCGGGGGUAGAGCACUGUUUCGGCAAGGGGGUCAUCCCGACUUACCAACCCGAUGCAAACUGCGAAUACCGGAGAAUGUUAUCACGGGAGACACACGGCGGGUGCUAACGUCCGUCGUGAAGAGGGAAACAACCCAGACCGCCAGCUAAGGUCCCAAAGUCAUGGUUAAGUGGGAAACGAUGUGGGAAGGCCCAGACAGCCAGGAUGUUGGCUUAGAAGCAGCCAUCAUUUAAAGAAAGCGUAAUAGCUCACUGGUCGAGUCGGCCUGCGCGGAAGAUGUAACGGGGCUAAACCAUGCACCGAAGCUGCGGCAGCGACGCUUAUGCGUUGUUGGGUAGGGGAGCGUUCUGUAAGCCUGCGAAGGUGUGCUGUGAGGCAUGCUGGAGGUAUCAGAAGUGCGAAUGCUGACAUAAGUAACGAUAAAGCGGGUGAAAAGCCCGCUCGCCGGAAGACCAAGGGUUCCUGUCCAACGUUAAUCGGGGCAGGGUGAGUCGACCCCUAAGGCGAGGCCGAAAGGCGUAGUCGAUGGGAAACAGGUUAAUAUUCCUGUACUUGGUGUUACUGCGAAGGGGGGACGGAGAAGGCUAUGUUGGCCGGGCGACGGUUGUCCCGGUUUAAGCGUGUAGGCUGGUUUUCCAGGCAAAUCCGGAAAAUCAAGGCUGAGGCGUGAUGACGAGGCACUACGGUGCUGAAGCAACAAAUGCCCUGCUUCCAGGAAAAGCCUCUAAGCAUCAGGUAACAUCAAAUCGUACCCCAAACCGACACAGGUGGUCAGGUAGAGAAUACCAAGGCGCUUGAGAGAACUCGGGUGAAGGAACUAGGCAAAAUGGUGCCGUAACUUCGGGAGAAGGCACGCUGAUAUGUAGGUGAGGUCCCUCGCGGAUGGAGCUGAAAUCAGUCGAAGAUACCAGCUGGCUGCAACUGUUUAUUAAAAACACAGCACUGUGCAAACACGAAAGUGGACGUAUACGGUGUGACGCCUGCCCGGUGCCGGAAGGUUAAUUGAUGGGGUUAGCGCAAGCGAAGCUCUUGAUCGAAGCCCCGGUAAACGGCGGCCGUAACUAUAACGGUCCUAAGGUAGCGAAAUUCCUUGUCGGGUAAGUUCCGACCUGCACGAAUGGCGUAAUGAUGGCCAGGCUGUCUCCACCCGAGACUCAGUGAAAUUGAACUCGCUGUGAAGAUGCAGUGUACCCGCGGCAAGACGGAAAGACCCCGUGAACCUUUACUAUAGCUUGACACUGAACAUUGAGCCUUGAUGUGUAGGAUAGGUGGGAGGCUUUGAAGUGUGGACGCCAGUCUGCAUGGAGCCGACCUUGAAAUACCACCCUUUAAUGUUUGAUGUUCUAACGUUGACCCCUAAUCGGGGUUGCGGACAGUGUCUGGUGGGUAGUUUGACUGGGGCGGUCUCCUCCUAAAGAGUAACGGAGGAGCACGAAGGUUGGCUAAUCCUGGUCGGACAUCAGGAGGUUAGUGCAAUGGCAUAAGCCAGCUUGACUGCGAGCGUGACGGCGCGAGCAGGUGCGAAAGCAGGUCAUAGUGAUCCGGUGGNAGGUUAGUGCAAUGGCAUAAGCCAGCUUGACUGCGAGCGUGACGGCGCGAGCAGGUGCGAAAGCAGGUCAUAGUGAUCCGGUGGUUCUGAAUGGAAGGGCCAUCGCUCAACGGAUAAAAGGUACUCCGGGGAUAACAGGCUGAUACCGCCCAAGAGUUCAUAUCGACGGCGGUGUUUGGCACCUCGAUGUCGGCUCAUCACAUCCUGGGGCUGAAGUAGGUCCCAAGGGUAUGGCUGUUCGCCAUUUAAAGUGGUACGCGAGCUGGGUUUAGAACGUCGUGAGACAGUUCGGUCCCUAUCUGCCGUGGGCGCUGGAGAACUGAGGGGGGCUGCUCCUAGUACGAGAGGACCGGAGUGGACGCAUCACUGGUGUUCGGGUUGUCAUGCCAAUGGCACUGCCCG
Molecule: ribosomal RNA, 2797 nt
Filed under: Escherichia coli
Lineage: Bacteria; Pseudomonadati; Pseudomonadota; Gammaproteobacteria; Enterobacterales; Enterobacteriaceae
Description: bacterial LSU rRNA
Rfam family: Bacterial large subunit ribosomal RNA
Source: RNAcentral